GCCAUGCAACUUCUAGUGAAAUCCCCGGGCUCAACCUGGGAACUGCAUUCGAAACUGGCAGGCUUGAGUCUUGUAGAGGGGGGUAGAAUUCCAGGUGUAGCGGUGAAAUGCGUAGAGAUCUGGAGGAAUACCGGUGGCGAAG
This 142-nucleotide ribosomal RNA is filed under the name Salmonella enterica subsp. enterica serovar Kentucky. RNAcentral describes it as "partial 16S ribosomal RNA". It matches the Rfam family "Bacterial small subunit ribosomal RNA", at positions 578 to 720 of the family's 1533-position model. Lineage: Bacteria; Pseudomonadati; Pseudomonadota; Gammaproteobacteria; Enterobacterales; Enterobacteriaceae. The record is from RNAcentral.